Molecule: ribosomal RNA, 492 nt
Filed under: uncultured bacterium
Lineage: Bacteria
Description: partial 16S ribosomal RNA
Rfam family: Bacterial small subunit ribosomal RNA
Source: RNAcentral
AGUGAACGCUGGCGGUAGGCCUAACACAUGCAAGUCGAACGGCAGCACAGUAAGAGCUUGCCCUUACGGGUGGCGAGUGGCGGGCGGGUGAGGAAUACAUCGGAAUCUACUUUUUCGUGGGGGAUAACGUAGGGAAACUUACGCUAAUACCGCAUACGACCUACGGGUGAAAGCAGGGGAUCUUCGGACCUUGCGCGAUUGAAUGAGCCGAUGUCGGAUUAGCUAGUUGGCGGGGUAAAGGCCCACCAAGGCGACGAUCCGUAGCUGGUCUGAGAGGAUGAUCAGCCACACUGGAACUGAGACACGGUCCAGACUCCUACGGGAGGCAGCAGUGGGGAAUAUUGGACAAUGGGCGCAAGCCUGAUCCAGCCAUACCGCGUGGGUGAAGAAGGCCUUCGGGUUGUAAAGCCCUUUUGUUGGGAAAGAAAAGCAGCAGGUUAAUACCCCGCUGUUCUGACGGUACCCAAAGAAUAAGCACCGGCUAACUUCGUG